Molecule: ribosomal RNA, 492 nt
Filed under: uncultured bacterium
Lineage: Bacteria
Description: partial 16S ribosomal RNA
Rfam family: Bacterial small subunit ribosomal RNA
Source: RNAcentral
AGUGAACGCUGGCGGUAGGCCUAACACAUGCGAGUCGAACGGCAGCACAGUAAGAGCUUGCUCUUACGGGUGGCGAGUGGCGGACGGGGGAGGAAUACAUCGGAAUCUACUUUUUCGUGGGGGAUAACGUAGGGAAACUUACGCGAAUACCGCAUAAGACCUACGGGUGAAAGCAGGGGAUCUUCGGACCUUGCGCUAUGGAAUGAGCCGAUGUCGGAUUAGCUAGUUGGCGGUGUAAAGUCCCACCAAGGCGACGAUCCGUAGCUGGUCUGAGAGGAUGUUCCGACCGAGUGGAACUGAGAAACGGUCAAGACACCUGCUGGAGGCAGCAGUGGGCGAUAUUGGACAAUGGGCGCAAGCCUGAUCCAGCCAUACCGAGUCGGUGAAGAAGGUCCUCGGGUUGUAAAGCCCUUUUGUUGGGAAAGAAAAGUAGCAGGUUAAUACCCCGCUGUUCUGACGGUACCCACAGAAUAAGCACCGGCUCACUUCGUG